Molecule: ribosomal RNA, 478 nt
Filed under: uncultured bacterium
Lineage: Bacteria
Description: partial 16S ribosomal RNA
Rfam family: Bacterial small subunit ribosomal RNA
Source: RNAcentral
GAUGAACGCUGGCGGCGUGCUUAACACAUGCAAGUCGAACGAGAAAUGGAGACGGAAACCUUCGGGCGGAAGGCUUCAUUUCGAGUGGCGGACGGGUGAGUAACGCGUGGGUAACCUGCCUCAUACAGGGGGAUAACAGUUGGAAACGACUGUUAAUACCGCAUAAGACCACAGCACCGCAUGGUGCGGGGGUAAAAACUCCGGUGGUAUGAGAUGGACCCGCGUUCGAUUAGCCAGUUGGCGGGGUAACGGCCCACCAAAGCGACGAUCGAUAGCCGAUCUGAGAGGAUGACCGGCCACAUUGGGACUGAGACACGGCCCAAACUCCUACGGGAAGCAGCAGUGGGGAAUAUUGCACAAUGGGGGAAACCCUGAUGCAGCGACGCCGCGUGAGUGAAGAAGUACUUCGGUAUGUAAAGCUCUAUCAGCAGGGAAGAAAUUGACGGUACCUGAGUAAGAAGCCCCGGCUAACUACGUG